Hemiscyllium ocellatum (epaulette shark) is the source of this 1038-nucleotide long non-coding RNA. RefSeq lists it as uncharacterized. NCBI's taxonomy places the organism in Eukaryota, Metazoa, Chordata, Chondrichthyes, Orectolobiformes, Hemiscylliidae. The transcript is spliced from 3 exons. The record is from RefSeq and is a predicted model, not a curated record.
AGCCGUGGCUGACAAAGCAAGUCAGGAAAUGUAUCAACGAAAAAGAGAGAACCUACAAUGUGGCCAAGAGCACUGGGAAAUCAAAUGCUUGGGAAGACUACAAAAAACAAACAGAAGAUAACAAAGAGAGAAAUAAGGAAGGAGAGGAUCAAAUAUGAAGAUGCUGCUCCUCCCUCUGAAUGAAGAUUGAGCUUCACCCCAGACUGCAACUUUCUUCCUUUGUCCAACAUCUGUCCUGUCCCUUCAAUGACUGAGGAACAUCCGCCUCCAGAAUGGUCACCGGCUCCUGCCUGCUGUACAGCCGGCCGGUGUGGCCGUGACACAGCAGCUGCACCAGGAAGGCGGCGGUGACCAGUGACGGGGGUCUGCCCCGGGCCGCACGGCGCCAUUUUCCUAACGGCCGCCGCUUCCCCGCUCGAGCGACUUCUCCUCCCAACCGCCUUCACCCCCGCGUGACGUCUGCACGGGGGGGAUGGGCGGGGCCGGGGGAGCCUCACCGUCACCAAGCAACAGCCACCUCGCGCUACAACUGCUGCUCCCUGAAGCGGGAAAUCUGCAUUUUAAAGGGACAUGGACAUUUAACGGGCUAUUUCUGCAAAUAGAUUGAAAUGGACAAGAUUACAUUUCAAAGGGAUAUCUUAAUAUGCAAAAUGACGCAGUCAUAUCUAAAUGAAUCUACAUUUCGAAGAGACGUUGCCCUAUUUUAUAGGUAGCUGAAAAUGUGUUGCUGGUAAAAGCACAGCAGGUUAGGCAGCAUCUCAGGAAUAGGGAAUUCGACGUUUCGAGCAUAAGCCCUUCAUCAGGAAUGAGAGAGAGUAAAUGACCCUUUAAGAGACAGUUAUAUCUAAAGGGGUAAAUAUACAUUAUCGAGGGGCAAGAUUGCGCUUAGAGGAACACAACACAUUUAAAAGGCAUAACUACAUUUGAAGGGGCAUUUUUAUAUUUAAAAAGACACAUUGAAAUCUCAUAAUUAAAAGUACAUGGUAAUAUUUAGAAAGCAUGACCAUGUUCGAAAUAGUGCAGCCAGUUUACAAGAAA